RNAcentral lists this ribosomal RNA (274 nucleotides) under uncultured bacterium. Its description in RNAcentral is "partial 16S ribosomal RNA". It matches the Rfam family "Bacterial small subunit ribosomal RNA", at positions 523 to 796 of the family's 1533-position model. The record is from RNAcentral.
CUACGGAGGUUGCGAGCGUUAAUCGGAAUUACUGGGCGUAAAGCGUACGUAGGCGGUUGGUUAAGUUAGAUGUGAAAGCCCCGGGCUUAACCUGGGAACUGCAUUUAAAACUGGCGAACUAGAGUUGAGUAGAGGGGAGUGGAAUUUCAGGUGUAGCGGUGAAAUGCGUAGAGAUCUGAAGGAACACCAGUGGCGAAGGCGACUCCCUGGACUCGAACUGACGCUGAGGUACGAAAGCGGGGGUAGCAAACGGGAUUAGAAACCCUAGUAGUCC